UAAGGAAAAUCGGAAACCUACACAUUCAUUGAAACGAUAUUCAGUUUUGAGUGAUUUACACUCAAAAAUUAGAUCUUUGAAAACUGAAUCAUAAUUGUAAAUUUUUAAAUUCAUUUAAUAUUGUUAACGCAAUAUAAAUUGAGCCGAAAAAAUACACCGCGUAAUUUUUUGAGUUUUUUAAAUUAGUUUAAAAUCGCUUGUGACCUUGAGUCACAUACUCAAACUUAUAUCAUCAACGAAAGUUGAUAGGUU
RNAcentral lists this unclassified non-coding RNA (252 nucleotides) under Levilactobacillus brevis. RNAcentral describes it as "Lactobacillus brevis 16S-23S ribosomal RNA intergenci spacer". Lineage: Bacteria; Bacillati; Bacillota; Bacilli; Lactobacillales; Lactobacillaceae. The record is from RNAcentral.